Small nucleolar RNA from Nicotiana attenuata, 107 nucleotides. It matches the Rfam family "Plant small nucleolar RNA R71". From Rfam's summary of the family: R71 is a member of the C/D box family of snoRNAs containing the C (UGAUGA) and D (CUGA) box motifs. Multiple nearly identical copies of this snoRNA have been identified in Arabidopsis, and it is thought to function as a 2'-O-ribose methylation guide for 18S ribosomal RNA. The record is from Rfam. NCBI's taxonomy places the organism in Eukaryota, Viridiplantae, Streptophyta, Magnoliopsida, Solanales, Solanaceae.
AAACCAUGAUUGGGAGACCUCACCAAAUGUAAUUUGAAUCGAUCCCAUGCCUCAUGAAGAUAUUCUCCUUGCUGUUGCUUGAAGAAGAAAAUUUUAUCUCGAAGUUU